GACGAACGCUGGCGGCGUGCUUAACACAUGCAAGUCGAACGGAAAGGCCCUGCUUGCAGGGUACUCGAGUGGCGAACGGGUGAGUAACACGUGGGUGAUCUGCCCUGCACUUCGGGAUAAGCUUGGGAAACUGGGUCUAAUACCGGAUAGGAGCCAUCUUUAGUGUGGUGGUUGGAAAGUUUUUUCGGUGUAGGAUGAGCUCGCGGCCUAUCAGCUUGUUGGUGGGGUAAUGGCCUACCAAGGCGGCGACGGGUAGCCGGCCUGAGAGGGUGUACGGCCACAGUGGGACGGAGAGACGGCCCAGACUCCUACGGGAGGCAGCAGUGGGGAAUAUUGCACAAUGGGCGCAAGCCUGAGGCAGCGACGCCGCGUGGGGGAUGAAGGCCUUCGGGUUGUAAACUCCUUUCGCUAGGGACGAAGCGUUGUUGUGACGGUACCUAGAUAAGAAGCACCGGCUAACUACGUG
This 466-nucleotide ribosomal RNA is filed under the name uncultured bacterium. RNAcentral's name for it is "partial 16S ribosomal RNA". It matches the Rfam family "Bacterial small subunit ribosomal RNA", at positions 28 to 507 of the family's 1533-position model. The record is from RNAcentral.